Pogoniulus pusillus (Red-fronted tinkerbird) is the source of this 2240-nucleotide long non-coding RNA. RefSeq lists it as uncharacterized. The record is from RefSeq and is a predicted model, not a curated record. Lineage: Eukaryota; Metazoa; Chordata; Aves; Piciformes; Lybiidae. The transcript has 2 exons.
AUGUGGUUAAUUGCAGUGUAAUUAUCUCCCCCCCCCAUAAAAAUCCCCCCUCAAUGAUAACAUUUAAUUUCAAGUAUGAGUUGUGCUGCCUCCCACCAAGCACAGAGUAACCCCAGCAGCUGAGCAGCCUCUGCACGCUCUGGGUUUUUCCUCUCUAAUGAACAAGGGCUGUGAGCUAGGAAGGGUCUCCUUGGUCACUGCCAAAUCUUUUCACGUGCAGCACAAGAUGUUAGCAGUUUAGUUAAUUUUUCUCCAGAGCCUUUUCUCAGCCAUGGUUAGGCCUCCAGGGAGGACAUCCCACAUCUUUCCAGCCUGGAUGUCACUGUACUAAGCGACACUUUUUGUUUCCCAUCUUGAAAGCAUAGCUGGCACAGGAAUGGAUCUGGCACAGGAAUGGAUCUGGCACAGGAAUGGAGCUGAUACAGGAAUGGAGCUGGAACUUUGGAGUAAAGGUGAUCUGCCCAAGAGCUGCAGGACCAGCUGCAGCCCCCAUGACAUGAGGUGCACCUUUUAACUGUCUGGGCUACUUUUGGCCUGAGAGGAGGUGUCAGCUGCUCUGCUCUUGAGGCUGUGGAUUUGCCUUGUUUGCCAGCCACAGCAUCCUUCCCCCCCGCAGCUGUCCCCUCGCAGCGGAUGUCAGCCAGAGCUGGAAGUGGUUCUCCAUCAGAUGUUAAGAUAAAUCAAUCUGGUUCAAAUCACGCAGCGUAAACUGAUCAAAGCCGAAAGUAAAACUCCGGUAAUGAGGACAAAAGAUGUCAUUUUCAUUCAUAACAAUACUGAGCUCUCCAGAAAAGGGGAAAAAUAAUGCCCUGGAGCGUGCUGGCAACAAGUGCUCAGCACCAUCUUCUACCUAAUUGUUUCCACUUUCUGAGCACUCCGCCGUCAGCAUCGCUGCCUGCCCUCGCCAUGCCAUCAACCACCACCGCUCCUAUCCCAGCCCUCCAGCCGGGACGUGCCUGGCAUCGCUCUCUUAGCGAGGUGAAAGAGAAGUGGGAUGGCUCCAGGAGGUAGAAAACCUGCUUCUAAAUGUAAAAAAGCAAUCUCUCAACCCAAUCCUAAAUCCUGGUGGAUUCUAUUUAACAUAUAUAUAAUGUUGCUGAGGUGGGAUGGCUCCAGGAGGUAAAAAAAACAUGUUUCUAAAGGUAAAAAAAAAAGCAAUCUCUCAACCCAAUCCUAAUUCCUGGUGGAUUCUAGUUAAUAUACAUAAUGUUACUGAAGUGGGGUGGCUCCAGGAGAUAGAAAAUCUGCUUCUAAAGGUAAAAAAAAAAGCAAUCUCUCAACCCAAUCCUAAAUCCUGGUAGAUUCUAGUUAAUGUAUAUAUAAUGUUGCUGAAGUAGGAUGGCUCCAGGAGGUAGGAAACCUGCUUCUCAAUGUGAAAAAAAAGCAAUCUCUCAACCCAAUCCUAAUUCCUGGUGGAUUCUAGUUAAUCUAUAUAAUGUUACUGAAGUAGGAUGGCUCCAGGAGAUAGAAAAAUUGCUUCUAACUGUGGAAAAAAAAGCAAUCUCUCAACCCAGUUCUGAUUCCUGGUGGAUUCUAGUUAACAUAUAUAUAAUGUUGCUGAAGUAGGAUGGCUCCAGGAGGUAGGAAACCUGCUUCUCAAUGUGAAAAAAAAGCCAUCUCUCAACCCAAUCCUAAUUCCUGGUGGAUUCUAGUUAAUCUAUAUAAUGUUACUGAAGUAGGAUGGCUCCAGGAGAUAGAAAAUUUGCUUCUAACUGUGAAAAAAAGCAAUCUCUCAACCCAGUUCUGAUUCCUGGUGGAUUCUAGUUAACAUAUAUAUAAUGUUGCUGAAGUGGGAUGGCUCCAGGAGAUAGAAAAUCUGCUUCUAAAGGUAAAAAAAGAUCAAUCUCUCAACCCAAUCCUAAUUCCUGGUGGAUUCUAGUUAACAGAAAUCAUUUUACUGAAUCCCCCCCCUCCCCAAGUCUUAUUUUGAUGCGUUUGGUGCUCCUGGCAAAGCAGCGGCUGGGGUUGUAGCGUGGAGGCGAGCUCACAGGCUGUGCAGCUCGUACCUGAUGCCUCCCCAGUCCCGUACAGAUAAAUAAAUGGCUGUCAUUUUAAACCAGCCCUAUUAUGUUUUCCAAGCAAUAGUUCAAAUUACACGGCCCAGCAACAGCUUACAAGAAAUCCAUCAGAAUUGGAAGGGGAGAAUAAAACUGCCAUUCUCUCUACCUGUUUGUGCAGCUCCUUGCUAAUGCGGGGAGAGCCCGACUGUUUAUUUGGAGAAGUAAAGUUGUGGAAAUAUC